RNAcentral lists this ribosomal RNA (669 nucleotides) under uncultured bacterium. Its description in RNAcentral is "bacterial SSU rRNA". It matches the Rfam family "Bacterial small subunit ribosomal RNA", at positions 56 to 719 of the family's 1533-position model. The record is from RNAcentral.
UGCAAGUCGAGCGGGGAAGGGUAGCUUGCUACCUGACCUAGCGGCGGACGGGUGAGUAAUGCUUAGGAAUCUGCCUAUUAGUGGGGGACAACAUUCCGAAAGGAAUGCUAAUACCGCAUACGCCCUACGGGGGAAAGCAGGGGAUCUUCGGACCUUGCGCUAAUAGAUGAGCCUAAGUCAGAUUAGCUAGUUGGUGGGGUAAAGGCCUACCAAGGCGACGAUCUGUAGCGGGUCUGAGAGGAUGAUCCGCCACACUGGGACUGAGACACGGCCCAGACUCCUACGGGAGGCAGCAGUGGGGAAUUUUGGACAAUGGGCGCAAGCCUGAUCCAGCCAUGCCGCGUGUGUGAAGAAGGUCUUCGGAUUGUAAAGCACUUUAAGUUGGGAGGAAGGGCUGUUACCUAAUACGUGAUGGUUUUGACGUUACCGACAGAAUAAGCACCGGCUAACUCUGUGCCAGCAGCCGCGGUAAUACAGAGGGUGCAAGCGUUAAUCGGAAUUACUGGGCGUAAAGCGCGCGUAGGUGGUUUGUUAAGUUGGAUGUGAAAUCCCUGAGCUUAACUUAGGAAUUGCAUUCGAUACUGGAAAGCUAGAGUAUGGGAGAGGAUGGGUAGAAUUCCAGGUGUAGCGGUGAAAUGCGUAGAGAUCUGGAGGAAUACCGAUGGCGAA